UAACUUCAAACUCGGAUAAAUCCAAUUCUUAGAUUUUUUGAGAUUUUGGUGUCAAAUCAAAGAGAAAAAAAAUAUCUUUUAAACAUUUUUAUCAGUCGUGUAUAAAUCAGCGUGGUUCUUGAGAAAUAAGCCGUUAAAGUCGUAAUAUUUUAUCUAAGAGAGAUAGAUCCAUGAGACAUUUUUUUUCAAACGUAGCUAAGUCCAUGAGAGCCAAUCAGGUAAUUGCGUUUCUUCAACAUGGCCGCCAGUUGACGAAAACUCAGCGACCAGCGGCACCAUGCGCUCCCGCUUUUUAAUGUUUAUUUGCGAUAUUCAGACAGUUCCCAUGGAUAUUAUAUUAAAAUUGUGUCACCAACUAAAGCCCGCAAGCGGCUUAAUAUAAAAGUUCGCCUUAGGAAAGAGGAAAAAGCGAAAACUCGAAUAUUUUGGACAUAAGUAUGUUUAUGACAUACCUACCUAAUAUUGAGUACAUUUCUUUUUCUGAUCAAAUUUGUGUAGGUAUGUUCAUGUAAGUUUUAGAAUAUAAGACAUGCUUUGUGGAGUUGGGUCGUCUGGAUAUGUUUUGCAGUUUUUUGCUAAAUAUAAUAAAUUUGUAAAUGUAAUUAUGUGAAAUAAAAUAUUGAUCUAUUUAAAUGAUUUAUAAUAACCUAAUUUUUUUUUCCUUUAAGUUAGGGGCUGGAAACGCACUUUAGCUAAUUGGGCAUAAUGGGCAUUGUUGGUGGAAUUGAAAAAUGUAUUAUAAAAAAUGCUUUAAUAUUGAAAAUGUGAUAGGGCGACCAAUUCACGAAGAAGAAAUUGAAAAAGAUGACUGAAGAAAUAUUGAAUUUUGUUUAAAAUUAUUAAAUUGGGUACUUCCUAUUUUUAUAAAAUAAAAACUAGAUUUUC
This is a long non-coding RNA of Ostrinia nubilalis (European corn borer), 885 nucleotides long. RefSeq lists it as uncharacterized. The record is from RefSeq and is a predicted model, not a curated record. The transcript has 2 exons. NCBI's taxonomy places the organism in Eukaryota, Metazoa, Arthropoda, Insecta, Lepidoptera, Crambidae.